AGCAGAAGUCAACCAAAAUAAUUUCUAUGUAGAUGAUUGUCUUACUUUUGUGCCCACAGAAUCUGAUGCGAUCCAACUAUAUAAGGAACUCCAUACGAUGUGUGCUAAAGGUGGAUUUUAUCUGACCAAAUGGAUGAGCAAUAGUCGUGGAGUGUUGAAUGCCAUACUAGAAGAAGACUGGGUGAAAGAAGUAAAGGAUCUUGACUUGAAACAUGAUGUGCUUCCGAUGUAAAGGGUACUAGGUGUACAGUGGUGUGCUGAAUCUGACACCUUCAAAUUUAGGAGUAGUAGUAAUCAAGGACAGACGUUUUACUAGAAGACGGAUACUUUCCGUGAUUAGUGCCAUGUAUGAUCCGCUCAGAUUUUUGUCUCCAGUAGUUUUUUCCGCAAAGAAGAUUCUUCAGGAUCUUUGCAGCGAAAGGAUUGGAUGGGAUAGUGUCAUACCCAUCAAAUAUACAGAGAUGGAGAAGCUGGCUUGAAGAUCUUCAUGGCUUGGAGACAAAAAGAUGUUUGAAACCUGUAGAGUUUGGAGAAGUCACAUCGGCUCAGUUACAUAAUUUCUCUGAUGCCAGUGAAGAAGGCUAUGAUGUUGUGUCCUACCUGCUUCUACGUAAUAGAAGCUACGUCAGAGCAUUGGACAUUCUGCUUUCUUGAUGGGUAAAGAUCGAGUAGCACCAGUGAAAUCUACCACCAUUCCCCGCAUGUAACUUACAGCCUCCACUCUCGCCAGCCGAAUGGACAGGCUAUGGAAAAGGGAUCUAAGGAUGAAGCUACAAGAUUCAGUGUUUUGGUCUGAUAGCACUGCUGUGUUAAAAUAUAUUCAAAAUGAGUCCUCCAGAUUUAAGUGUUUUGUUGCCAACAGAGAGUGUCUGAGAUCUUGAGAGCAUCCAGCGCAGCUCAGUGGAGAUAUAUAGAUUCUGCCAACAAUCCUGCUGACUUUGCUUCAAGGGGGCUAAAAGUAGAUAUUUUACUUAAGGAGCAGAUGUGGGAGUUUGGCCCUCCCUUCCUUAUUAAAUCACAGGUAGAGUGGCCGAAUUAACCAAUUGAUUUGGGAAAGAGUUGGGUAUAAGACCCAGAAAUCAAGCAAGAACACACUACUGGUUCAAACUGAGGAGAGAGAUGAUGCUGUAUCAUGACUUAUCAAUCAUUAUUCAUCAUGGACACGUCAGGCUAAAGAGAAUUCAGUAAAAGGAGAAGACAAUUGAAGAGAACUAUUGAUUGUACUGAAUCUAAUCAACCACUGA
Molecule: long non-coding RNA, 1244 nt
Organism: Cyprinus carpio carpio
Lineage: Eukaryota; Metazoa; Chordata; Actinopteri; Cypriniformes; Cyprinidae
Source: Ensembl